Molecule: ribosomal RNA, 566 nt
Filed under: Ecnomiohyla bailarina
Lineage: Eukaryota; Metazoa; Chordata; Amphibia; Anura; Hylidae
Description: partial 16S ribosomal RNA
Rfam family: Bacterial large subunit ribosomal RNA
Source: RNAcentral
CGCCUCUUGAUAAAGUGUAAGAGGUCCAGCCUGCCCAGUGACUCUGUUCAACGGCCGCGGUAUCCUAACCGUGCGAAGGUAGCGUAAUCACUUGUUCUUUAAAUAAGGACUAGUAUGAACGGCACCACGAGGGUUAUACUGUCUCCUUUCUCCCAUCAGUGAAACUAAUCUCCCCGUGAAGAAGCGGGGAUUAAUAUAUAAGACGAGAAGACCCUAUGGAGCUUUAAACCACGUAACAACUGCUUGACCCCUCCUCCCUCCUGAGUGCCCACAUUUACUAUAGCCUUAUGAUUACUCGUUUUAGGUUGGGGUGACCGCGGAGUAAAAAUUAACCUCCACUUUGUAAGGAACAUGUUCCUGCGCCAUGAGAAACACCUCUAAGCACCAACCAAUUGACAUUAAUUGAUCCAUUUUUUGACCAACGAACCAAGUUACCCUAGGGAUAACAGCGCAAUUUGUCUCAAGAGCUCCUAUCGACAGAUAAGUUUACGACCUCGAUGUUGGAUCAGGGUAUCCAAGUGGUGCAGCCGCUACUAUAGGUUCGUUUGUUCAACGAUUAAAACCCU